This is a long non-coding RNA of Tribolium madens (black flour beetle), 1186 nucleotides long. RefSeq lists it as uncharacterized. The transcript has 4 exons. NCBI's taxonomy places the organism in Eukaryota, Metazoa, Arthropoda, Insecta, Coleoptera, Tenebrionidae. The record is from RefSeq and is a predicted model, not a curated record.
CGGAUGAGAGGUUAUGUGAAAGUAAAUAAACAAGUUAGAAUUAGACAAACGAUAGAUCAAGAAAAAAAUGUUGACUCGAGAAUACGUUGUGCUCUUAAGUCAGAUGCAGACAAAGAAGGACGAAAAAAUUUAAUAUCUACAAUGAGACACCCGAGAACUCAUCGAGACGAACACAGAAGGCACGAAGGCGCUAAAAUUAACCUGGAGAAGUUGCCCACAUACUCCAAGAGGACGGUACAAAGCGCUCCAGGACUAUCCACUCCUUGUACCCCUCUCAUAGCAACACUACUAAUAAACGCGAGGGACUGAGAGGGAACACGCCUUCAUCCAACUCCUUUCAAAGUUGGUGCCAACAAUACUGUAAGUUACUUCAAAAUAUCGCAGCUAACGUAAACAUUGCAUCUUAUGGAUUACGAACCCAGAAACGAUAAAACGGAAACGGUAAAUCUGCUCCGAAACUUCUGACAAAGAUACAAGUGGUACCAGAUGUUGUAUUCAACGAUACCCAAACAAUUAGUGAGGCUCCUAAACGCCCCUCACUCCCACAAAAUUAAGUUGGUACUGGUGUUAACCCAACAAAUGUUGAUACUCUAGCGUUUCAUGGGGUGCCGGUGAAUUGCGCUCACUUCAAGGACGGCAUUUUAAUCCCUACAGUGGAUUGCGCUCAGAAAAUUUUUAAUUACCUGCGUUGCGUUCUAAUCUCUAUGUGAACUGCGCUUAGGCUAAUGAAAAUGAGGAUGAACCAGUUGCAAAAAUGUACUUUGCACUUUGAAAUAAACAAAAACAAAAUAGGUUAUUAUUUACAUUUACUGAACACAAAUAUGUAUAGGUGUACAUUACAUAACAGUGUUUUAAAAAUUUGAUCAAACUUAUAAAAUAGACAUUUCACAAAAGUGGAUCGAUCGAUCUAUUUGCUUCUCUUUCAAUAUUUUAUUUUUAAAUUAAAACAUACCUUUUAAUACAGGGUAUUUCAGAACUCGUAUCCCAGAGAAUAAUGUCAAGUGCCGGCCGCAAUAGGUCAUUAAAAAGUCCACCCGAAGAAGUGCUCCCUAAAAGUUUGAAGCACCAACCCAUGGGUGGGUGCCCCGUUGUGAUGCUACUGAGCGCAGUUUACCUUAAGAAUUAGCGACCCUUAGUAGCCUCAUUAUACCUGUUUCUAAAACUGAGCGCAAUACACUCUGCCCCG